Molecule: ribosomal RNA, 253 nt
Filed under: uncultured bacterium
Lineage: Bacteria
Description: partial 16S ribosomal RNA
Rfam family: Bacterial small subunit ribosomal RNA
Source: RNAcentral
CACGUAGGGGACGAGCGUUGUCCGGAUUUAUUGGGCGUAAAGAGCUCGUAGGCGGCUUGUCGCGUCGUCUGUGAAAACCCGCGGCUCAACGGCGGGCUUGCAGUCGAUACGGGCAGGCUGGAGUUCGGUAGGGGAGACUGGAAUUCCUGGUGUAGCGGUGAAAUGCGCAGAUAUCAGGAGGAACACCGGUGGCGAAGGCGGAUCUCUGGGCCUUACCUGACGCUGAGGCGCGAAAGCUAGGGGAGCGAACAGG